This 234-nucleotide ribosomal RNA is filed under the name uncultured bacterium. Its description in RNAcentral is "partial 16S ribosomal RNA". The record is from RNAcentral.
UAAUCCGACCUAGGCUCAUCUGAUAGCGCAAGGCCCGAAGGUCCCCUGCUUUCUCCCGUAGGACGUAUGCGGUAUUAGCGUUCCUUUCGAAACGUUGUCCCCCACUACCAGGCAGAUUCCUAGGCAUUACUCACCCGUCCGCCGCUAAGUCAAAGUGCAAGCACCUUGACCCCGCUCGACUUGCAUGUGUUAGGCCUGCCGCCAGCGUUCAAUCUGAGCCAGGAUCAAACUCUA